CUGUAACAGUUCUAAUCGAUCAAGCUGAAGCUGAGGCUAUAAUUCGCACGGAAUUAAUACUACCCAGGGACUCACCGGAAGAGGCCGAUGUUCCCGUGGAACCCGACCCGGUUCGUCCCCGUCGAUUGAGGAAAUCCACACGUAUGGCGGAUUACAGUUACGAUUAAUUAGUGGGCAGUAACUAAUAAAAUAAAUGGGAGGGAGUUACAAAUAAUUAGUAGGAAAUAAUUAGUGGGCAUUAAGUAGUGGCAGUUACAAAGCUGAAUCCUUGUAAGCUUAAAUAGACGUGAAUAGAAGGAGGAGAUAUGAAUUGAUUUACUCAAACAACUCUCGUCUUCUCCCUUCGAAUCCCUCGGGAUAACCUCGUCUUCAACCUCCGGUCCCC
Molecule: long non-coding RNA, 385 nt
Filed under: Zostera marina
Lineage: Eukaryota; Viridiplantae; Streptophyta; Magnoliopsida; Alismatales; Zosteraceae
Description: long non-coding RNA (ZMAR_LNC001945)
Source: RNAcentral